CGGCUCAUUAAAUCAGCUACAAUCUGCGUGGGAAAGGUGCCUUACGGCGUCCAGUCGGAUAACAAUGGUAACUCCAUUGCUAAUACGUGUCCGUCAAUUCCGUCGCAGGUUCCACUCAGUGCUUUCGGGUACUGGGCUGAGGCGGAAGCAGUUAACCGAAAGAAAAACCAGCGCUAGCGAUAGCAGUGGUCUUUGGAUGAAACAGGUUAACCGAGCGAUAGCACAGUGGCCUUGAGCCGGUGCAAGCCCACAAGAGUAUCUGCCCUAUCAGCUUUGACGGUAGUGUAGUGGACUACCGUGGCUGUAACGGGUAACGGGGAAUUAGGGUUCGAUUCCGGAGAGGGAGCCUGAGAAACGGCUACCACAUCUAAGGAUGGCAGCAGGCGCGCAAAUUGCCCAAUAGCAACACAGCUGAGGCAGCGAAGAGAAAUAGUAACUUCUGUCACUCUGUGUCAUGUAGAUUGCAAUGGAUGAUAUCUAAACCUGUCAGUGAGUAUCAAUUGGUGGACAAGUCUGGUGCCAGCACCCGCGGUAAUUCCAGCACCAAUAGCGUAUAUUAAUGCUGCUGCUGUUAAAAAGCUCGUAGUUGGAUCCAGAGCUCAGGUUGUAGGACUGCCUUUCGUGUGGCGGACGAGUAAUUCUGAAGUCUCGUGUUAGGAACACACAGACUACGUUAAGACCUGGGCUCUAUGAACGGUGGUAAUGGUACCUUGUGAGUAGCCUCUCGAGGUGAAAACGCUUUCGCGUAUACCAUGCGCAUACGGGUYGACCACCGAAGUUACUGUGAACAAACCAGCGUGCCCAAAGCAGGCCCCGUCUUGAAUGGUAAAGCAUGGAAUAACAAGGGAUCGAUUCUCUCGGUUCAUUUUGUUGGUUUUUAACCCGAGAAGAAGGAAUUAAAGCUGCGGACUCUUCUGAUUGUCUUCGGACUUUCUUAAGACCGUAGCCCAGCGGGAUCAAUAGGGACUGCCGGGGUCGUACGUACUCCCUCGUCAGAGGUGAAAUUCUUAGAUCGUGGGAAGACGAACUUCUGCGAAAGCAUUCGACAAGAAUGUCUUCAUUAAUCAARAACGARARUGKGGGGNAUCGAAGAUGAUCAGAUACCGUCGUARUCCACGACCGUAAACGAUGCCGUCUCAGGAUCGAAGGGUGCACCUUAAUGGCCCCUACGGCACUACCCUUGAAACGAGAAAUCAAAGAUUAUGGGUUCAGGGGGGAGUACAUUCGCAAGGCUGAAACUUAAAGGAAUUGACGGAAUGACACCACCAGGCGUGGAGUAUGCGGCUUAAUUUGACUCAACACGGGGAAUUUUACUAGGUCAGGACAAUGUAAGGAUUGACAGAUUGAGAGCUUUUUCUUGAUUAAUUGUGUGGUGGUGCAUGGCCGCUCCUGGUUGGUGGAGUGAUUUGUCUGGUUGAUUCCGUUAACGAACGAGAUCUCGACCCUUAAAUAGGUGUACUUGUAGCCCAUUUGGCAAAAGUUAGCUAGUUCGCUAGCCGACUUUUGAUACAGGGUAUUACUUCUUAAGGGGACUGCGCGCGUCCAUAGCGUGCGGAAGAGCGAGCCAAUAGCAGGUCUGUGAUGCUCCUAAAUGUCCUAGGCUGCACGCGCACUACACUGACGCAUUCAACGAGUCUGAUUGUCAUUUGACAACCUAUCUUGAAGAGGACGGGAAACCUUUUGAACNUGCGUCGUGAUGAGGAUCGAUGAUUGCAAUUAUUCUCCUUGAAUGAGGAAUGCCUAGUAGGCGCAAGUCAUCAGCUUGCACUGAUUACGUCCCUGCCAUUUGUACACACCGCCCGUCGUUGCUACCGAUUGGCUGUGGGAUAGAGCUUGGGGGAGGUUGUCGCUUUCGGGCUUCCGAUUGUGGCGUUCCGAAUCCAA
Molecule: ribosomal RNA, 1884 nt
Filed under: Rhynchopus humris
Lineage: Eukaryota; Euglenozoa; Diplonemea; Diplonemida; Diplonemidae
Description: SSU rRNA
Rfam family: Eukaryotic small subunit ribosomal RNA
Source: RNAcentral